GACUACCAAGGCGAUGAACAUAGCCGACCUGAGAGGGUGAUCGGCCACAUUGGGACUGAGACACGGCCCAAACUCCUACGGGAGGCAGCAGUAGGGAAUCUUCGGCAAUGGGGGCAACCCUGACCGAGCAACGCCGCGUGAGUGAAGAAGGUUUUCGGAUCGUAAAACUCUGUUGUUAGAGAUUAUUGUCAGUGAGAGUGGAAAGUUCACUGAGUGACGGUAUCUAACCAGAAAGGGACGGCUAACUACGUGCCAGCAGCCGCGGUAAUACGUAGGUCCCAAGCGUUGUCCGGAUUUAUUGGGCGUAAAGCGAGCGCAGGUGGUUUAAUAAGUCUGAUGUAAAAGGCAGUGGCUCAACCAUUGUGUGCAUUGGAAACUGUUAGACUUGAGUGCAGUAGAGGAGAGUGGAAUUCCAUGUGUAGCGGUGAAAUGCGUAGAUAUAUGGAGGAACACCGGUGGCGAAAGCGGCUCUCUGGACUGUAACUGACACUGAGGCUCGAAAGCGUGGGUAGCAAACAGGAUUAGAUACCCUGGUAGUCCACGCCGAAAACGAUGAGUGCUAGUUGUUUGGGG
RNAcentral lists this ribosomal RNA (573 nucleotides) under uncultured bacterium. Its description in RNAcentral is "bacterial SSU rRNA". It matches the Rfam family "Bacterial small subunit ribosomal RNA", at positions 263 to 829 of the family's 1533-position model. The record is from RNAcentral.